UAAAGGUGCUGUGACACGAGAAUGUAUGU
This 29-nucleotide non-coding RNA is filed under the name Mus musculus (house mouse). Lineage: Eukaryota; Metazoa; Chordata; Mammalia; Rodentia; Muridae. The record is from RNAcentral.